RNAcentral lists this ribosomal RNA (452 nucleotides) under uncultured bacterium. RNAcentral describes it as "bacterial SSU rRNA". It matches the Rfam family "Bacterial small subunit ribosomal RNA", at positions 335 to 799 of the family's 1533-position model. The record is from RNAcentral.
ACUCCUACGGGAGGCAGCAGUGGGGAAUAUUGCACAAUGGGCGCAAGCCUGAUGCAGCAACGCCGUGUGAGUGAAGAAGGUUUUCGGAUCGUAAAACUCUGUCCUAAGGGAAGAAACAAUGACGGUACCUUAGGAGGAAGCCCCGGCUAACUACGUGCCAGCAGCCGCGGUAAUACGUAGGGGGCAAGCGUUAUCCGGAAUCACUGGGCGUAAAGGGUGCGUAGGCGGCUUAGCAAGCCAGGGGUGAAAGGCAUUAGGCUCAACCAAUGUAAGCCUUUGGAACUGUUAAGCUUGAGUGCAGGAGAGGUAAGUGGAAUUCCUAGUGUAGAGGUGAAAUUCGUAGAUAUUAGGAGGAACACCAGUGGACGAAGGCGACUUACUGGACUGUAACUGACGCUGAUGCACGAAAGCGUGGGUAGCGAACAGGAUUAGAUACCCUAGGUAGCACAGCG